Molecule: ribosomal RNA, 800 nt
Filed under: uncultured Glomus
Lineage: Eukaryota; Fungi; Glomeromycota; Glomeromycetes; Glomerales; Glomeraceae
Description: SSU rRNA
Rfam family: Eukaryotic small subunit ribosomal RNA
Source: RNAcentral
UAUCAACUUUCGAUGGUAGGAUAGAGGCCUACCAUGGUGGUAACGGGUAACGGGGUGUUAGGGCACGACACCGGAGAGGGAGCCUGAGAAACGGCUACCACAUCCAAGGAUGGCAGCAGGCGCGCAAAUUACCCAAUCCCGACACGGGGAGGUAGUGACAAUAAAUAACAAUACGGGGUUCUUUCGGAUCUCGUAAUUGGAAUGAGUACAAUUUAAAUCUCUUAACGAGGAACAAUUGGAGGGCAAGUCUGGUGCCAGCAGCCGCGGUAAUUCCAGCUCCAAUAGCGUAUAUUAAAGUUGUUGCAGUUAAAAAGCUCGUAGUUGAAUUUCGGGGUCAGUAGGUUGGUCGUGCCACAGGUAUGAACUGGUCUCACUGAUUCCUCCUUCCUGAUGAACCGUAAUGCCAUUAAUUUGGUGUUGCGGGGAGACUGGACUGUUACUUUGAAAAAAUUAGAGUGUUUAAAGCAGGCUAACGCUUGAAUACAUUAGCAUGGAAUAAUGAAAUAGGACGUUCGGUCUUAUUUUGUUGGUUUCUAAGAUUGACGUAAUGAUUAAUAGGGAUAGUUGGGGGCAUUAGUAUUCAAUUGUCAGAGGUGAAAUUCUUGGAUUUAUUGAAGACUAACUACUGCGAAAGCAUUUGCCAAGGAUGUUUUCAUUAAUCAAGAACGAAAGUUAGGGGAUCGAAGACGAUCAGGUACCGUCGUAGUCUUAACCAUAAACUAUGCCGACUAGGGAUCGGAUGAUGUUAAUUUUUUAAUGACUCAUUCGGCGCCUUACGGGAAACCAAAGUGUUUGGGUUC